GAAGUGAGUGAGAUGGUCGCUGGUGGCGUUCGCGCCACGAGAGGAAAGUCCGGGCUCCGCGGGACAGAGCGGUCGGUAACGCCGACCAGCCGAGAGGCUAGGGAAAGUGCAACAGAAAGCAAACCGCCUACCGCCGCCGGUUCGCUGGCGGCGCGGUAAGGGUGAAACGGUGCGGUAAGAGCGCACCAGCGGCCGAGGCGACUCGGCCGGCUAGGUAAACCCCGCUCGGAGCAAGGCCAAACAGGAAGCAGCCGGCGCGAGAGCGCCGGCCCGGACGAGUCCGGUCCGGCAUCGACUUCCGGGUAGGCCGCUCGAGGCGUCGAGCAAUCGGCGUCCUAGAUGAAUGACCAUCGCCCACGCCCAGCGUGGGAACAGAACCCGGCUUAAAAGCUCACUUCGAGG
RNAcentral lists this RNase P RNA (402 nucleotides) under Planctomycetales bacterium. Its description in RNAcentral is "RNase P RNA component class A". It matches the Rfam family "Bacterial RNase P class A". From Rfam's summary of the family: Ribonuclease P (RNase P) is a ubiquitous endoribonuclease, found in archaea, bacteria and eukarya as well as chloroplasts and mitochondria. Its best characterised activity is the generation of mature 5'-ends of tRNAs by cleaving the 5'-leader elements of precursor-tRNAs. The record is from RNAcentral. Lineage: Bacteria; Pseudomonadati; Planctomycetota; Planctomycetia; Planctomycetales.